Molecule: unclassified non-coding RNA, 392 nt
Filed under: soil metagenome
Description: partial contains 5.8S ribosomal RNA, internal transcribed spacer 2, and large subunit ribosomal RNA
Rfam family: 5.8S ribosomal RNA (bases 1-122)
Source: RNAcentral
GAUGAAGAACGUAGCGAAAUGCGAUACUUGGUGUGAAUUGCAGAAUCCCGUGAACCAUCGAGUCUUUGAACGCAAGUUGCGCCCGAAGCCAUUAGGCCGAGGGCACGCCUGCCUGGGCGUCACACGUCGUUGCCCCCCCCAUCUACUCCUUCGGGAUUGCGGGGGGGCGGAUGAUGGCCUCCCGUGCGCCUAGCCGCGCGGUUGGCAUAAAUACCAAGUCCUCGGCGACGCACGCCACGACAAUCGGUGGUUGCGAAACCUCGGUUGCCCGUCGUGUGCGUUCGUCGCGCAUCGAGGGCUCGAAAAAAUGCUCGGCUCCGGCUGGGCUUUCAACGCGACCCCAGGUCAGGCGGGGUUACCCGCUGAAUUUAAGCAUAUCAAUAAGCGGAGGA